This 253-nucleotide ribosomal RNA is filed under the name uncultured bacterium. Its description in RNAcentral is "partial 16S ribosomal RNA". It matches the Rfam family "Bacterial small subunit ribosomal RNA", at positions 524 to 776 of the family's 1533-position model. The record is from RNAcentral.
UACAGAGGUCUCAAGCGUUGUUCGGAUUCAUUGGGCGUAAAGGGUGUGUAGGCGGCGCGGUAAGUCGGGUGUGAAAUCUCGGGGCUUAACUCCGAAACUGCAUUCGAUACUGCUGUGCUUGAGGACUGGAGAGGAGACUGGAAUUUACGGUGUAGCGGUGAAAUGCGUAGAGAUCUGGAAGAACACCAAAAACGAAGACAACGUCCUGGCGAAUAUCUGACGCUCAUGUGCGAAAGCCAGAAAAGCGAACAGA